Molecule: small RNA, 487 nt
Filed under: Pan troglodytes (chimpanzee)
Lineage: Eukaryota; Metazoa; Chordata; Mammalia; Primates; Hominidae
Description: retained intron
Source: RNAcentral
UUCUCAGAGUCUGGCAUGACAAGGACAAGGACACAUCCUCCGACCCACUCCUGGAACUGAGAGUGGGCCCUGGGGUGUGUAGGAUGCGCCAAGACCCAGCACACCCCCAUGUGGUUGCCACAGGUGGGAAAGAGAAUGCUUUGAAGAUAUGGGACCUGCAGGGCUCUGAGGAACCUGUGUUCAGGGCCAAGAACGUGCGGAAUGACUGGCUGGACCUGCGGGUUCCCAUCUGGGACCAGGACAUACAGUUUCUCCCAGGAUCACAGAAGCUUGUCACCUGCACAGGGUACCACCAGGUAAGGUGUCACCUCACACCUGCCUUCUCCUGGGAUAAAGCAGCCUCCUGGAGAAAUGGCCCCCACAGUUUGACACAACUGCCCUUCUCACCAUUCUGAGUUCAGAGGAGCAAGCGCUUCCCCAUCUGUUCCAACCCUGUCCCUGAGCCCAUGACCUUCCUCUACUGUAUUCUAGGGUGGAGUUUCCUGAA